RNAcentral lists this small nucleolar RNA (182 nucleotides) under Prunus persica (peach). RNAcentral's name for it is "snoRNA Plant_U3". It matches the Rfam family "Plant small nucleolar RNA U3". From Rfam's summary of the family: Small nucleolar RNAs (snoRNAs) are involved in the processing and modification of rRNA in the nucleolus. There are two main classes of snoRNAs: the box C/D class, and the box H/ACA class. The record is from Rfam by way of RNAcentral. Lineage: Eukaryota; Viridiplantae; Streptophyta; Magnoliopsida; Rosales; Rosaceae.
ACGACCUUACUUGGACAGGAUCUGUUCUAUAGUAAUCGUACCUCUGUAUCCUUGAUUUCUAAGGAGACAGGAAUCCCAACCUGGUGGAUGAAUCAUGACCAUCCGUGUGAUCAGAGCGUGAUUAGGAUCGUUCUCAGUCAGUUUUCACUGUCUGGGGUGGUUACACGGUUGUCUGACAGGUU